This 469-nucleotide ribosomal RNA is filed under the name uncultured bacterium. Its description in RNAcentral is "partial 16S ribosomal RNA". It matches the Rfam family "Bacterial small subunit ribosomal RNA", at positions 28 to 507 of the family's 1533-position model. The record is from RNAcentral.
GACGAACGCUGGCGGCGUGCUUAACACAUGCAAGUCGAACGGAAAGGCCCUGCUUGCAGGGUGCUCGAGUGGCGAACGGGUGAGUAACACGUGGGUGAUCUGCCCCUUAUUUUGGGAUAAGCCUGGGAAACUGGGUCUAAUACUGGAUAGGACCAUGCUGUAGGUGGUGUGGUGGAAAGAUUAGUUUCGGUAAGGGAUGAGCUCGCGGCCUAUCAGCUUGUUGGUGGGGUAAUGGCCUACCAAGGCGUCGGCGGGUAGCCGGCCUGAGAGGGUGGACGGCCACAUUGGGACUGAGAUACGGCCCAGACUCCUACGGGAGGCAGCAGUGGGGAGUAUUGCACAAUGGGCGCAAGCCUGAUGAAGCGACGCCGCGUGGGGGAUGACGGCCUUCGGGUUGUAAACUCCUUUCAGCCAUGACGAAGCCCUUGUGGUGACGGUAGUGGUAGAAGAAGCACCGGCUAACUACGUG